Molecule: ribosomal RNA, 474 nt
Filed under: uncultured bacterium
Lineage: Bacteria
Description: bacterial SSU rRNA
Rfam family: Bacterial small subunit ribosomal RNA
Source: RNAcentral
CACUGUCACUCCUACGGGAGGCAGCAGUGGGGAAUAUUGCACAAGUGGGGGAAACCCUGAUGCAGCCAUGCCGCGUGUGUGAAGAAGGCCUUCGGGUUGUAAAGCACUUUCAGUAGGGAGGAAGGUAGUGUAGUUAACACCUGCACUAUUUGACGUUACCUACAGAAGAAGCACCGGCUAACUUCGUGCCAGCAGCCGCGGUAAUACGGAGGGUGCGAGCGUUAAUCGGAAUUACUGGGCGUAAAGCGCAUGCAGGCGGCCUGUUAAGUCAGAUGUGAAAGCCCCGGGGCUUAACCUCGGAAUUGCAUUUGAAACUGGCAGGCUAGAGUCUUGUAGAGGGGGUAGAAUUUCAGGUGUAGCGGUGAAAUGCGUAGAGAUCUGAAGGAAUACCAGUGGCGAAGGCGGCCCCCUGGACAAAGACUGACGCUCAGAUGCGAAAGCGUGGGGAGCAAACAGGAUUAGAUACCCUGGUAG